Molecule: long non-coding RNA, 3118 nt
Filed under: Sus scrofa (pig)
Lineage: Eukaryota; Metazoa; Chordata; Mammalia; Artiodactyla; Suidae
Description: lncRNA (ENSSSCG00065065117.1)
Source: RNAcentral
AUGGCAGAGCAAGGCUGGAUUCAGAAAACCGGAGGUAGAGGGGGAGGCGGGAAGGAAGCCAGCGUGUCUGCAAUAAUGGCAUCAUGGUUUCUAAGACAGAAGGGCGUCAGAGGGGCGGCUGUGCGACCUUCAGAGCCACUGAGGUUGUCUUCGUGCAGACGCGAAGAGAGGCCAUUGCUCAUCCGGCAGACUUGCAGACAUCAAGACAGUCAAGGCAGGAAGAAGGCGGAAACUCUUGCACGGCGUGGGGAGGGCGAUGCAGGUACUCUGCUGGUUUGUUGGCAAGUUCACGUGAGCUUUGUGGAAGCAAUGUGAGACUGUCUCGAGACCCUUUAAAGAGUUCAUUCUCUUUGUUUUUCUGAGGGGUUGACUCGUGUCCGUCAGAGACAUGCGUCCAGGCCCUGAGCCCUGGUCCCCACGACCGCGAGCUUCUCUAGGAACAAGCACUCUGCAGAUGUUAAGGUGGCGUAGGCCCGCCCUUGAUCCAAUACCGUUCGUGUCCUUGUAAGGAGAGGCGACACGCAGACAGACACGGGAAGGACACUCCGUAGUGACAGGCACGGGGUUAGGGUAAACUGAGAGACACCAGGGACUGCAGGGGACACCAGACGCUAACGGGCAGGAGACCGAUUUUCUCCUGGAGCCUUUGGAGGGAGCUGCUCCCUGUUGGCGCCUGGACUGCAGACUUCUGGCCUCUGCGGCCGUGAGACCACAAAGCCCUGUUGUUUUACGCCCUCCCGGUGUGGCCCUUUGUUACGACAGCCCCAGGAAACCAGCACAGCCUUUCUUUGGCUUUCAUUUCCAGGUCGGAAUCUGACAGCGCCUUACUUGGCAAGUUUCUUCCCAUGGCCUCCUGGCACAUGGACCACAUCUCCCAGUCUCCCUUGCGGUCGGCCAUGGCACGUGACUGAUUUUGGCCAGUGGGAUGCAGUCAGAAGGGACGCCCCCAGGCCUGGCCAGUAGCAACCUGGGCUCCCCUCUCGGUCAGUCCUCUGCCUGGGAGCAGACACCAAGCCUAGGACCCCGAGUCCUACCAGACAGACAGAGUCUGUGCCCCCGGGUCAUCCUAAACACCUGUACGGAGCUCCCUGUUGUGUGGGUGAGCACUGGCCUUCUGCUGAGACUGGAGGGGUCAGCAUUUAGCCCAGCUUGACUAGGAGAAGGAGGGAAUCAGAGAUGGAUGAAAGCCAAGAUUCAGAGGCCAGGAUGCUCCUACGCCCAAUUUUACUCGCUUCCGGCUUCAAAAUAAAGUCACUUUUCUUUUCCUAUUAGGUCUGCGUGGCCCCACGUCUUUGUCCUUGGACUCUUUGGGCAGCCACUCUUGUUGGGGUGGUGGUGGAGGUUUCUCAGCCACUCCCCAGGUCUGGCCUUCCCCACUGCUUCUUACUCUGUCCAAGGGGUCAUCCGGAGUGUAGGCAGACAGGGUAGGGGUUCUGGGAGGAAGAGAUCCAGGUGUGCCUUUCCUGAAAAGAAAAGCCUUUUAUUUUUUGCUUUUUAGGACCACAUGUGCAGCAUAUGGAAGUUCCCAGGCUAGGGAUUGAAUUGGAGACGUGGCUGCCGGCCUACACCACAGCCACAGCAACGUGGGAUCCGAGCCGCGUCUGCUACCUACACUGCAGCUCACAGCAACGCUGGAUCCUUAAGCCAAUGAGUGAGGCCAGCGGUUGAACCUGCUUCCUUAUGGACGCUAGUCGGGUUUAUUACUGCUGAGCCACAGCGGGAACUCCAAGGGAGCCCCUUUUAGGCCCAGGCCAUCUUGUGAUAUAAGCCUGGCCUCAGUGCUCUUGCUGACAGAGGAAGAGAUCGCAGCAGUUAAUGAUUCUGAGGGAAGGGAAAGGUAAGAACGAGCGACCAUUGCCAGGCCAGGGAAAUGCCCAUUCUGGAAACAAUCAAGCAAAUUUUGCUGCACGAGGAUCUCUUGGGGCCUUAAAGGCCUGCUGCCCAGGCUUCACCCUCGCCUGUAGCCCAGUUUGGGAACCUGCUGGUUGGAAUUCUGGUUCUGCCACUUGUUAGCUGUGUAGCCUUAGCAAGUUUGGUUUGUUUGUUUGUUUGUUUGUUUGUCUUUUUAGGGCUGCACCCUUGGGAUAUGGAGGUUCCCAGGCUAGGGGUCUAAUCCGAGCUACAGGGGCCGGCCUAUACCACAGCCACAGCAAUGCGGGUACCCGAGCCGCGUCUGCUACCUACACUGCAGCUCACGGCAACCCUAGAUCCUUAACCCACUGAGUGAGGCCAGGGAUCGAACCCACAACCUCAUGAUUCCUAGACGGAUUUGUUUCUGCUGCGCCACGACGGGAACUCCUCUUCUUUAUUUUCAAAUAAUGUUUCAGGGAGUUCCCAUCGUGGCUCAGCGGUAACCAACCCAACUAGUAUCCAUGAGGAUGUGGGUUCGAUCCCUAGCCUUGUGGGUUAUGGAUCCUGUGUUGCUGUGGCUGUGGUGUAGGCCAGCAGCUGUAGCUCUGAUUCGACCCUGGUGGGAACUUCCAUAUACGGAGGGGGCAGCCCUAAAAAAAAAGAAAAAAAAAAAGACCAAAGUAAUGUUUCAGGAUAAUGUAAUUUUUAAUGUAAAAAGCAAAUAGAAAUUUAUUUAUUUUAUUUUAUUUUAUUUUUUUUGUCUUUUUUGCCAUUUCUUGGGCCGCUCCUGCGGCAUAUGGAGGUUCCCAGGCUAGGGGUCUAAUCGGAGCUGUAGCUGCNUUUUUUUUUUUUUUUUUUUUUUUUUUUUUUUUUUUGUCUUUUUGGGGCCACACCCGUGGCAUAUGGAGAUUCCCAGGAUAGGAGUCAAAUUGGAGCUACAGCCACUGGCCUACACCACAGCCGCAGCAACGUGGGAUCCGAACCACGUCUGUGAUCUACACCACAGCUCAAGGCAACGCCGGAUUCUUAACCCACUGAGCAAGGCCAGGGAUCGAACCCGUGUCUUAGUGGAUGCUAGUUGGGUUCGUUAACCACUGCGCCACGACGGGAACUCCCGCAAAUAGAAAUUUAAAUAUAUAUAUGCCAGAAAGAAAAGGUAGAAAGGAGAUAGGUAUUACUCUGGGCUCUGGACUGAUGGGUAACUUUUAUUUUUUUCUUCAUUCAUUUUGACAUUUUCCCAAUUUUCUCCAGUGAGUAUUUAUUGCUU